This 460-nucleotide ribosomal RNA is filed under the name uncultured bacterium. RNAcentral's name for it is "partial 16S ribosomal RNA". It matches the Rfam family "Bacterial small subunit ribosomal RNA", at positions 338 to 795 of the family's 1533-position model. The record is from RNAcentral.
CCUACGGGAGGCAGCAGUGAGGAAUAUUGGUCAAUGGGCGCGAGCCUGAACCAGCCAAGUAGCGUGAAGGAUGACUGCCCUACGGGUUGUAAACUUCUUUUAUAAGGGAAUAAAGUGCGGCACGUGUGCCGUUUUGUAUGUACUUUAUGAAUAAGGAUCGGCUAAUUCCGUGCCAGCAGCCGCGGUAAUACGGAGGAUCCGAGCGUUAUCCGGAUUUAUUGGGUUUAAAGGGAGCGUAGAUGGGUUGUUAAGUCAGUUGUGAAAGUUUGCGGCUCAACCGUAAAAUUGCAAUUGAUACUGGGAGUCUUGAGUACAGUUGAGGUAGGCGGAAUUCGUGGUGUAGCGGUGAAAUGCUUAGAUAUCACGAAGAACUCCGAUUGCGAAGGCAGCUUACUAGACUGCAACUGACGUUGAGGCUCGAAAGUGUGGGUAUCAAACAGGAUUAGAUACCCCAGUAGUC